This 425-nucleotide ribosomal RNA is filed under the name uncultured bacterium. RNAcentral describes it as "bacterial SSU rRNA". It matches the Rfam family "Bacterial small subunit ribosomal RNA", at positions 359 to 776 of the family's 1533-position model. The record is from RNAcentral.
GAAUAUUGGACAAUGGGCGAAAGCCUGAUCCAGCAAUGCCGCGUGGGUGAAGAAGGCCUUCGGGUUGUAAAGCCCUUUCAGUGGGGAAGAAAAGCGGGGUGCUAACACCACCCUGUCAUGACGUUACCUACAGAAGAAGCCCCGGCUAACUCCGUGCCAGCAGCCGCGGUAAUACGGAGGGUGCGAGCGUUAAUCGGAAUUACUGGGCGUAAAGGGCGCGUAGGUGGUUUGGCCAGUCGGAUGUGAAAGCCCCGAGCUUAACUCGGGAAUGGCAUUCGAUACUACCUCACUAGAGUAUGGUAGAGGGAAGCGGAAUUCCCGGUGUAGCGGUGAAAUGCGUAGAUAUCGGGAGGAACAUCAGUGGCGAAGGCGGCUUCCUGGACCAAUACUGACACUGAGGCGCGAAAGCGUGGGGAGCAAACAGG